Molecule: long non-coding RNA, 5338 nt
Filed under: Sus scrofa (pig)
Lineage: Eukaryota; Metazoa; Chordata; Mammalia; Artiodactyla; Suidae
Description: lncRNA (ENSSSCG00050050944.1)
Source: RNAcentral
CAAGCUCAUGGUUCCCAUUUGGAUUCAUUUACACUACAUCGUGAUGGGAACUCCUAAACCUGGAAGGUGUUGUUCACAGCUCGCAUAUGUGCCAGACAUUCAGCAUCUUCUUAAAGGGGAAAGUAUGAAAGCCAAGGAGUUGCAAUCAUUUUCUACCUAUGUUAUUUGAGAUAAUACAACAAAAUUAUAAAAGUUCUUGGCAGAACUUUAAUUAUCUGCAAGAUUUUGUAACAGACCAUUCAUACACACACACACACACACUGCUGAGUGAAGUAUAAAGGCAUCUUUCUUCACUAUCUCAGGAGUGACAAAUUAAAAAAAUUUAGCUCCAGGGUAUGAGGUAAUUUUUCAUUUUCUCAAAAAAAAACUUAGAUCUAGAAUGGGGAGAGGCCACAAGCUCAAACUUUGAGUGAGGAGGUGGUACACUCUUUUUAACCAGAUCCAAAGCAAUGACAAAAGUACUCAUUUUAUCAGCCAGGACAGAACCUAGGGGACUGAGGUCAAUACAUUCUGUUGAGAGACAAUUUGGGAGUGAUAAAUGCACUUCCCUUAACUAUUCCCCAUGGAGGUGUGCCAUUGUCAGAUACUAAAGAUAGUCAACUCUUUUGUGUAUAUAAAUGAGGAUGCAUUAUUUGCAGACUCAUUUAGAGAAUGUUCACAUUGAUAAUCUCAUUUAAUGCUCCCAAUCAUUCCUGAGGGAGAUAGUAUUUUUCUUAUUUCAUUGCAAUGAGAGUGGCUCAAAAGAAAAUGGGAAAAGGAGGAUGUUUCAAACCCAAACACAUUAACUUCAAAUCUAAAGCCUUUUUCCAUUGCAUCCCAAUGGCUCUCCUGCAGCAGUGGGCUCUGUAUCCUGUGGACUUCUUCCUUCUACAUUCAGUCCAGAUGUGGGAGGAGUGUUGAUAUUCAUCCCUGUGGAAUAAAAACAUUUAGCCAGGAGUAAUUGGGCUUCUGUUUCUCAGAAAUAGAGUUUUGUUUCUUCUUACAGACAUACCUGAAUGCAUAUAGGGCUUUUUAAAUUAUGACACAAAAUAAAAGUUGUAAUAGGGCUCAAAAUAUAUUCUUUAACCAUAAGAAUGGGUGUGAGAAGCCUUCAGAAAUCUACUCCAUUCAGACUGGCAGCAAUAUAGACACAGAAUCAAAUGAAAGAGAUAGUAUUUUAUUCUUCUUUUCAACAAUUUAUUUAUUUACUUAUUCAUAAAAAUAUCUUAUACCUAUGAGGUGUCAAGAUACUUGUGAAGUGCUGUGAAUAAAUAUUUGGAAACACUUUUUUUUUCUUUAAAAGAGCUCCCAAUUUAGGGAGCAGAAUAGACAAAACAGUGUGUGUCAAAUGAUGUAAUGAAGGUGAGUGCUGAGUUGUAUGGGAGAACUGAGGAAGGGCUAUCAAAUCCAAAUUUACAGGGUCAAGAAAAGUAGGUUUCAGGAAGGAAGUCUCAAGUAAACACAGACCAAAGACAACUGAAACAAUAAAAGGUGAUGUGGGCAGUUUAGAGACAGAGCAUUUAGAAGGGAGCAAAACAGGAACAGGAAAACACAUGGAGAAGAGGAAAGGUGACAAAUUCAGGAAGCAGUUAUCAGGAAAAUUAGAAUGGCUGAAAUGUACACUUCAAGAGGUUUAGGAUGAGGCUAGAUAAAGUAGCAUGAAUGAAUCAUGCAGAACCUUGGAGGCCAUGUCUUUAUCUUUCUGACUUACUUCAGUAAGGAUGAGAGUCCCUAGUUCCAUCAGUUUUGCUGCAAAUGGCAUUAUUUUGUUAUGUUUAUGGCUAAGUCAUAGUCCAGUGUGUAUAUAUACCACAUCUUCCUAAUCCAGUCAUCUAUCAAUGGACAUUUGUUCCAUGUCUUGGCUAUUGUGAAUAGAGCUGCAUUGAACAUGUGGGUGCAUGUGUCUUUUUCAAGGAAAAUCUUGUCUUAAUAUGUGCCCAAGAUUGUGAUUGCUGGGUCCAAUGGUAUUUCUAUGUAUAGUCUUCUAAGGUACCUCCAUACUGUUUCUGUAGUGGUUGUACAAGCUUCCAUUCCCACCUAGAGUUCAGAAGGAUCUCUUCUCUCAACACCCCAUCCAGCAAUUGUUAUUUGUGGACUUAUUAAUUAUGGCCAUUCUGACUGGUCUGAGGUGGUAUCUCAUGGGAGAUUUGAUUUACAUUUUUCUAGUAAUCAGGGAUGUUGAGCAUUUUUUCAUGUGCUGCUUGUCCAUCUGUAUAUCUUCCUUGGAGAAAUGUCUAUUCAGGUCAUUUGACCAUUUUUCCAUUAGGUUGUUGGCUUUUUUUUCUGUUGAGUUGUAUAAGUUGUAAAAUAUAUAUUGAACCACAAAAUACCCUGAAUUGCCAAAGCAUUUCUUAUGAACAAAAACCUAGCAGGAGGCAUAACUCUCCCAGAGUUCAUGUGAUAUUACAGAGCAACAGUAAUCAAGACAGUGUAGUACUGGUUCCAAAACAGACAUACAGACCAAUAGAACAUAACAGAGAACCAAGAAAUAAACCCAAACACCUAUGGUCAAUUAAUCUUUGACAAAUAAAGCAAGAACAUAAAAAUGGGGAAAAGACUGUCAUUUCAGCAAAUAUUGCUGGGAAACAUGGACAGCUGCAUGAAAGUCCAUGAAAUUAGGACACACCCUCAUACCAUGCACCAAAAUAAACUCAAAAUGUCUUAAAGACAUAAAUAUAAGACAAGACACCAUCAAACUCCUGGAAGAAAACAUAGGCAAAACAUUCUCUGACAUCAAUCUUACAUAUGGUUUCUCAGGUCAGUCUUCCAAAGCAGCAGAAAUAAGAACAAAAAUAAACAAGUGGGACCUAAUCAAACGGACAAGCUUUUGCACAGCAAAGGAAAAAAAAGGAAACAAAAAGACAACCUACAGAGUGGUAGAAAAUAGCUUCAAAUGAUGCAACUGACAAGGUCUUAAUCUCUAAAAUAUACAAAUAACUGAUACAGCUCAACAUCAAAAAUGCCAAAACCAAUGGGAAAAAAAUGGGCAAAAGACCUGAAUAGACAUUUCUUCAAGGAAGAUAUACAGAUGGCCAGUAAGCACAUGAAAAAAUGCUCAACAUCACUAAUCAUUAGAGAAAUGCAAAUCAAAACUACAUGAAAAACCACCUUUUUUUUGGAACAUUGCUUAUAUUGCAACUCACUCACUCCUCCUAUAGUGUUUUUUUUUUCCUUUUUUUUUUGUAUUUCCACAAAGCCUCAACCAAAACCAAUCAGAACAAUAAAAUGUUAAAAUGUGAGGCCCAGGUAGGAAGUGGUGAAUACCUGCACACAAAUCUUGGCCUCAGCCCUUGACAUCCAUCACUGUGUGCCCUUGAGCAUGAUUGUUGAUCCUUCUCUGCCUCUGUCUCCUAAUCUGGCUUAGCACAGUGUCUAGCAUAUAGGAGGUUCUCCAUGUGUCAGUUUAUCUGGAAUUGCAUUCUUGCAGAUGCAAAAUUCAUUUUGUACAUCAAAACCUAUGCUUUUAAAAACAUAAACUAGAUAGAACAUAACAUAAAAUGCAAGAAUAUAUAGCACCAUCUAGGUAUUAUCCUAAAGCAGCACUAAAAUUUUACUUUUAAAAGUGCUUCCUGAGUCAUAGUGAAGAUAGAAAUGUUGAUUCCUAACAGUCAAUGAUAAAAAUCACUAAGUCAUAGAAAAUUAACUUGCAUUCCUCCAGGAGCCAACGCUGAACCAAGAAUUAAGUACAAAUAGUAUAUUUGGGGAUUGAAGAAAGCAGCAAGAGGGGAGUGGGAAAGGAAGAUGUGGAAAGUAAGGCUAUAGACAAAGGACAAAUAGCAGACAAUCAUCACCCAGGUAACUGAAGCUAAUUCCACUGUGGAGACACUAGAAUCCAGCACACCUCAGAUUUGUGCACUUUGAUUUUACAAAGAUGCUACUGGCCAAUAUUCCAGAAACUUUCUUCUCUGGCUUGUAUCUAAAAUGUAGGACUUCAGAAGUCUGAGUUGAGGGUCUCUACAGUCCUUCUGAUCUGAUAUACACAACAUUGUGGCAGUAGCACAGGGUCACCACAGCUAGAAAGAAGCUUCCGAGAUAAAGUUUUGCUCUACCUAUCUGUUAACCUCAAAUAUCAAAAAGGACAAAAUAAACCUUCAAAGAUGAUCUCAAGCUGGAAAUAUUUCUUUGUUCUCGAUAUCUCACUCCUAAGACUCAUUAAUGCCACAACAAAUUAUCCUGUUAUUCCAAAGGUUAAUUUUAAAGAACAUGAAGUUUUUAAAUUUAAGUUAACUUUUCUGGGAAGUUUAAACAUCAGUAUUUUUUCCCAUAGUGCAAGAUUGUUUCCUGUAUGGGUUAUUUUUCAUCUAUUUUUUAUUCAUUCAUUUAUUCUUGCUGUCUUGUUCUUCCUUUAAACCACUUUUAUUCAAUGGACUUUAAUUCUUUAUUUUAUUUGAUGUAACCAAACCUAAUAAUACAAAAUAUAAAGUGACUAUGCUUUUCUCUUGUCACUUUGCAAUUCAUAAUGGUGACCAGAAAAUAAAGUGACUAUGCUUUUCUCUUGUCACUUUGCAAUUCCUAAUGAUUUCCUUUGGGUCAACUGUGAGUAUGGCCCAAUAAGAUCCUUUUGAGUAGGAUAUUGUUCUACCAAAUUCUCAGAAGCCACUCAGUCCUUUGGCUAUUUGGAUCUCAUUGGAGCUAGUAAUUCUUCUUUUUUAAACUCCCUGCAGCUUAUCAUCUGCGAAAUGAUGAUUAAGGCUUGGAAACAGAGCCUGGAACAGAAGGAGAAGUGAUGAUGCUUGAGGUCUUUCCUCCAUGGGCUCAUUCUCUAAGGUCCCCAGCACAAACCUCUCUCCAGUGGGACACAUUUCCUAGAGGAACCAAAGGGGAAAUUGGGCAAUUAAUCUAGGUCUGAGGGAUGUCUUUAACUAUAAAUUACAAGUUCAUCUCCCAGUACCUUAGGGCUUUCUCCUCGGUUAAGUAUACACUGAAAUUCAUAGUUCUGGGGCUGAUAGACAGGGAUGAGAGUAUGAGCUUGUUGCUUUUCUUUUUGAUGCUCAAGAGAUGUUGAGAACCUUGGAAGCUAAUAUUAACAUCCCUUAAAGAGAUACUUGGGGCAUAUGUAGCCACGACACAUGGGAUUAUAAAUGCAAACAAGGUCAGUAUUGGGGAUAGUACUGAUAAUGUUUUCUCAACAGGAUUUGGGCUUAUAUGUGGAUCUAGAAGAGGAAAUAUCAGAAAGCUUAGUUUUAUAUGGAAGAGAAGAGAGAAUACAAAAGACAGAGAAAAUGAGAGAGGUGGGGGAGCAUAUUUAAAAUCAUGGAGUGACAAAGAAUGAAGAUGCAGUGGCUGAGAGAAUGAGAACUGGGAGAGGAGGAAGGAGAAAGUGAGAGAAGGAAAGACAAAGCAAAGGGAUAAACCAAAA